RNAcentral lists this long non-coding RNA (836 nucleotides) under Camarhynchus parvulus. Its description in RNAcentral is "lncRNA (ENSCPVG00000016776.1)". Lineage: Eukaryota; Metazoa; Chordata; Aves; Passeriformes; Thraupidae. The record is from RNAcentral.
UUCAGAGGGGACCCUAAAAGGAGAGGGGAAUGGGGGGUUUGGGGACCCCCAAAAAAGGGGUGGGGACCCCCCUGAGCGCCCUUUUUGUCCCCCCAGGACCCCAAAUUGGGGGGGACGAUCGUCUGCGCCUUCUGGAACCCCCGGGAGGGGCGCUGGGACACGGGGGGGUGCCGGGUGGUGCCCCCCAAAAACGGGACCCCCAGGAGGGCACCGUCUGCGCCUGCGAGCACCUGACGAGCUUCGCUGUCCUGCUGGCCUUCAACGAGAUCCAGGAUCACUGGCUGCUGGACCUGGUGACGCGGGUGGCCCUGGCCGUGUCCGUGGUGGCCCUGGGGGUGUCACUGAUGAGCAUCACUGAUGAUGUCACUGAUGAUGUCACUGUCCCCCCAGGAUCACUGGCUGCUGGACCUGGUGACGCUGGGUGGCCCUGGCCUGUCCGGGUGGCCCUGGUGCAUGUGUGGGCGCCCCGUCUGGCUGGGGCUGGUGGCCUGGUGGCCCUGGCCGUGUCCGUUGGCGCUGUAGCGGCCGCCCUUGGCGCCGACGCUGCAGCUGCACCUGAGCCUGAGCCUGCUCGGGGGGCACCUGGCCUUCCUGGGGGGCAUCGACGGGGCGCAGAGCCCGGUGUCCUGCACAGUGACAGCGGUGGCCCUGCACCUGUCGUACCUGUCGGCGUUCUGCUGGAUGGCGCUGCAGGGCGUUCACCUGUACGUGCUGCUGGUGCAGGUGUUCGCCCCGGCCUGGCUGCGCCCGCGGCCGCUCCUGGCCCUGGGCUACGGCCCCGCCGCGGCCAUCGUGGCUGUGUCAGCGGCGGCGUUCCCGCAGGGAUACGGCACUGA